UACGGGUGGUGCAAGCGUUAUUCGGAAUAAUUGGGCGUACAGGGUGUGUAGGCGGUAUGUUAAGUCUGUUGUUAAAGACUCCGGCCUAACCGGAGACAGGCAGCGGAAACUGGCGUACUAGAGGGUGGAAGAGAGAAGUGGAAUUCUCGGUGUAGCGGUAAAAUGCGUAGAUAUCGAGAGGAACACCGAUGGCGAAGGCAGCUUCUUGGUCCAUACCUGACGCUGAAACACGAAAGCGUGGGGAGCAAACAGG
Molecule: ribosomal RNA, 253 nt
Filed under: uncultured prokaryote
Description: partial 16S ribosomal RNA
Rfam family: Bacterial small subunit ribosomal RNA
Source: RNAcentral